GACGAACGCUGGCGGCGUGCUUAACACAUGCAAGUCGAACGGAAAGGCCCUGCUUUUUUGUGGUUCUCGAGUGGCGAACGGGUGAGUAACACGUGAGUAACCUGCCCUUGACUUUGGGAUAACUUCUGGAAACUGGGGCUACUACCUGCUAGUAACUCCUGCUGCAUGGUGGGGGUUGGAAAGUUUCGGCGGUUGGGGAUGGACUCGCGGCUUAUCAGCUUGUUUGUGGGGUUUUGGCUUACCAAGGCUUUGGCGGGUAGCCGGCCUGGGAGGGUGACCGGCCACAUUGGGACUGGGAUACGGCCCAGACUCCUACGGGAGGCAGCAGUGGGGAAUAUUGCACAAUGGGCGGAAGCCUGAUGCAGCAACGCCGCGGGCGGGAUGACGGCCUUCGGGUUGUAAACCGCUUUCGGCUGUGACGAAGCGUGAGUGACGGUAAUGGGUAAAGAAGCACCGGCUAACUACGUG
RNAcentral lists this ribosomal RNA (468 nucleotides) under uncultured bacterium. RNAcentral's name for it is "partial 16S ribosomal RNA". It matches the Rfam family "Bacterial small subunit ribosomal RNA", at positions 28 to 507 of the family's 1533-position model. The record is from RNAcentral.